GAUGAACGCUAGCUACAGGCUUAACACAUGCAAGUCGAGGGGCAGCGGUAUCGAAAGCUUGCUUUCGGUAGCCGGCGACCGGCGCACGGGUGAUUAACGCGUAUCCAACCUGCCUCAUACUCGUGUAUAGCCUUGCGAAAGUAAGAUGAAUGCCCGGUGUGUUCAGAGUCCCGCAUGAGGCUUUUAACAAAGAUGUAUCGGUAUGAGAGGGCGAUGCGUCUCAUUAGCGUGUUGUCGGGGUAACGGCCCACCAAGGCAUCGAUGGGUAGGGGUUCUGAGAGGAAGGUCCCCCACAUUGGAACUGAGACACGGUCCAAACUCCUACGGGAGGCAGCAGUGAGGAAUAUUGGUCAAUGGGCGGAAGCCUGAACCAGCCAAGUAGCGUGCAGGAAGACGGCCCUCCGGGUUGUAAACUGCUUUUAGUUGGGAAUAAAACGGGGCUCGUGAGCCCCCUUGCAUGUACCAUCAGAAAAAGGACCGGCUAAUUCCGUG
Molecule: ribosomal RNA, 492 nt
Filed under: uncultured bacterium
Lineage: Bacteria
Description: partial 16S ribosomal RNA
Rfam family: Bacterial small subunit ribosomal RNA
Source: RNAcentral